UUAAAUUGAAGAGUUUGAUCAUGGCUCAGAUUGAACGCUGGCGGCAGGCCUAACACAUGCAAGUCGAGCGGUAGCACAGAGAGCUUGCUCUCGGGUGACGAGCGGCGGACGGGUGAGUAAUGUCUGGGAAACUGCCUGAUGGAGGGGGAUAACUACUGGAAACGGUAGCUAAUACCGCAUAACGUC
This 186-nucleotide ribosomal RNA is filed under the name Klebsiella quasipneumoniae. RNAcentral's name for it is "16S rRNA. Bacterial SSU". It matches the Rfam family "Bacterial small subunit ribosomal RNA", at positions 1 to 180 of the family's 1533-position model. Lineage: Bacteria; Pseudomonadati; Pseudomonadota; Gammaproteobacteria; Enterobacterales; Enterobacteriaceae. The record is from RNAcentral. RNAcentral also lists the same sequence under 1 other name.